This 357-nucleotide ribosomal RNA is filed under the name uncultured bacterium. RNAcentral describes it as "bacterial SSU rRNA". It matches the Rfam family "Bacterial small subunit ribosomal RNA", at positions 448 to 793 of the family's 1533-position model. The record is from RNAcentral.
AACACGUAUGAGAGUAACUGUUCAUACGUUGACGGUAGUUUAACCAGAAAGUCACGGCUAACUACGUGCCAGCAGCCGCGGUAAUACGUAGGUGGCAAGCGUUAUCCGGAGUUUAUUGGGCGUAAAGAGAGUGCAGGCGGGUUUUCUAAGUCUGAUGUGAAAGCCUUCGGCUUAACCGGAGAAGUGCAUCGGAAACUGGAUUAACUUGAGUGCAGAAGAGGGUAGUGGAACUCCAUGUGUAGCGGUGGAAUGCGUAGAUAUAUGGAAGAACACCAGUGGCGAAGGCGGCUACCUGGUCUGCAACUGACGCUGAGGCUCGAAAGCAUGGGUAGCGAACAGGAUUAGAUACCCUGGUAG